Molecule: ribosomal RNA, 384 nt
Filed under: uncultured bacterium
Lineage: Bacteria
Description: bacterial SSU rRNA
Rfam family: Bacterial small subunit ribosomal RNA
Source: RNAcentral
GACGAACGCUGGCGGCGUGCUUAACACAUGCAAGUCGAACGGAAAGGCCCUUCGGGGUACUCGAGUGGCGAACGGGUGAGUAACACGUGGGUGAUCUGCCCUGCACUUUGGGAUAAGCCUGGGAAACUGGGUCUAAUACCGAAUAGGACCACGCGCUUCAUGGUGUGUGGUGGAAAGCUUUUGCGGUGUGGGAUGGGCCCGCGGCCUAUCAGCUUGUUGGUGGGGUAAUGGCCUACCAAGGCGACGACGGGUAGCCGGCCUGAGAGGGUGACCGGCCACACUGGGACUGAGAUACGGCCCAGACUCCUACGGGAGGCAGCAGUGGGGAAUAUUGCACAAUGGGCGCAAGCCUGAUGCAGCGACGCCGCGUGAGGGAUGACGGCC